UGUGCUAAGGUAGCAUAAUAAUUAGUUAUUUAAUUGAUAACUAGAAUGAAAGGUUUGACGCAAAGAAAAUCUUCUUGUUAUAAAUUUAAAUUGAUAUAUAAAUAAAAAAGUUUAUAUCCUUUAGAUAGACGAUAAGACCCUAAAACCUUUAUAGAUAAACCUUUAAACGUAUCUUUUUACUGGGGCGGUAAAUUAUAUUAGCAUAACUUAGAUCAACACUUUGAAUGGCAUCCUAUAACUCUCAAAAAUUUCAAUAAGGUACUUUAGGGAUAACAGCAUAAUUUUUAUUUAGAGUAAACCUAUCGACAUAAUAGAUUAUGACCUCGAUGUUGAAUUGAUAACCACUCUGCUAAGCAG
Molecule: ribosomal RNA, 357 nt
Filed under: Porcellio dilatatus petiti
Lineage: Eukaryota; Metazoa; Arthropoda; Malacostraca; Isopoda; Porcellionidae
Description: partial 16S ribosomal RNA
Source: RNAcentral